GGGCGCGUAGCUCAAUUGGUUAGAGCAGACGUCUUAUACACGUCCGGUUCUAGGUUCGAGUCCUAGCGCGCCCACCA
RNAcentral lists this transfer RNA (77 nucleotides) under Candidatus Berkelbacteria bacterium. Its description in RNAcentral is "tRNA-Ile". It matches the Rfam family "tRNA". From Rfam's summary of the family: Transfer RNA (tRNA) molecules are approximately 80 nucleotides in length. The record is from RNAcentral. Lineage: Bacteria; Candidatus Berkelbacteria.